Molecule: transfer RNA, 71 nt
Filed under: Dipodomys ordii (Ord's kangaroo rat)
Lineage: Eukaryota; Metazoa; Chordata; Mammalia; Rodentia; Heteromyidae
Rfam family: tRNA
About the family: Transfer RNA (tRNA) molecules are approximately 80 nucleotides in length. Their secondary structure includes four short double-helical elements and three loops (D, anti-codon, and T loops).
Source: Rfam by way of RNAcentral
GGGAAGGUGGCUCAGUGGUAGAGUGCUUGCCUUGCAUGCAUGAGGCCCUGGGUUCGAUUCCUCAGCACCCU